RNAcentral lists this ribosomal RNA (741 nucleotides) under Andira carvalhoi. RNAcentral describes it as "eukaryotic LSU rRNA". The stretch from base 245 to 400 matches the Rfam family "5.8S ribosomal RNA". The record is from RNAcentral. Lineage: Eukaryota; Viridiplantae; Streptophyta; Magnoliopsida; Fabales; Fabaceae.
UCAUUGUCGAUGCSUCACAAGCAGUGCAACCCGUGAAUUUGUUUGUCUACUACGGGGUGGUUCGAGGCCUCAAACGUCUCGACCCCUCGUGYCGGGAGGCGCCCACCUCGUGUGGUCUCUUCUUGGCCAAACAACAAACCCCGGCGCGAAAUGCGCCAAGGAACUCCAAAUUGUUUAGUGCGCUCCCGUCGACCCGGACACGGUGCUCGUGCGGGGGCGUCGCGACACACGAAAAACCUAAAAUGACUCUCGGCAACGGAUAUCUCGGCUCUUGCAUCGAUGAAGAACGUAGCGAAAUGCGAUACUUGGUGUGAAUUGCAGAAUCCCGUGAACCAUCGAGUCUUUGAACGCAAGUUGCGCCCGAAGCCAUUAGGCUGAGGGCACGCCUGCCUGGGUGUCACACAUCGUUGCCCCAAUCCCAGAGCCUCGUGCUAGGUCCUGAGYGAGUGGGGCGAAUGUUGGCUUCCCGUGAGCAACGUCUCGCGGCUGGUUGAAAACCGAGUCCAUGGUGGAGAGCGCCAUGAUAGAUGGUGGUUGAGUGAAGCUCGAGACCAAUCGUGCGCGUCUCUCCGUCGGCUUCGGGCUCUGUGACCCAAGANCGUCAUUCGAUCGCUCAURACGAGACCUCAGGUCAGGCGGGGCUACCCGCUGAGUUUAAGCAUAUCAAUAAGCGGAGGAAAAGAAACUAACAAGGAUUCCCCUAGUAACGGCGAGCGAACCGGGAAGAGCCCACCAUGAGAA